RNAcentral lists this ribosomal RNA (429 nucleotides) under Pseudomonadota bacterium. RNAcentral describes it as "Proteobacteria bacterium partial 16S ribosomal RNA". It matches the Rfam family "Bacterial small subunit ribosomal RNA", at positions 355 to 776 of the family's 1533-position model. The record is from RNAcentral. Lineage: Bacteria; Pseudomonadati; Pseudomonadota.
UGGGGAAUAUUGGACAAUGGGCGAAAGCCUGAUCCAGCCAUGCCGCGUGUGUGAAGAAGGUCUUCGGAUUGUAAAGCACUUUAAGAUGGGAGGAAGGGCAGUAAGCGAAUACCUUGCUGUUUUGACGUUACCGACAGAAUAAGCACCGGCUAACUCUGUGCCAGCAGCCGCGGUAAUACAGAGGGUGCAAGCGUUAAUCGGAAUUACUGGGCGUAAAGCGCGCGUAGGUGGUUCGUUAAGUUGAAUGUGAAAGCCCCGGGCUCAACCUGGGAACUGCAUCCAAAACUGGCGAGCUAGAGUAGGGCAGAGGGGGGUGGAAUUUCCUGUGUAGCGGUGAAAUGCGUAGAUAUAGGGAGGAACACCAGUGGCGAAGGCGACCACCUGGGCUCAUACUGACACUGAGGUGCGAAAGCGUGGGGAGCAAACAGG